AUUUUUAUAGUUUAAUUUAAAACAUAACAUUGAAAAUGUUAUAAUAAAAAAAUAAUUUUUUUUAAAAAUA
RNAcentral lists this transfer RNA (70 nucleotides) under Dermanyssus gallinae. RNAcentral's name for it is "tRNA-Phe". The record is from RNAcentral. Lineage: Eukaryota; Metazoa; Arthropoda; Arachnida; Mesostigmata; Dermanyssidae.